GAGACGAGGUUCUCUUCAGCUUUGAGCAGCCACUUGGUCCCCAGUUGGAGUCACCAACGUGCAGAAGCCCCCCAAACCCUGCUUAGGACAUCCCACUGCAAGACGUAAAUGUCAAAAGCUCACGAGGCUGUUUGUGGCUGACAUCCAUGCCCGCAGGCACCUGCUCAUAGCCUCGUCUUGGCAAAGAUGCCUUCAUUUUUCUUCCCAUGCCACCUCAGCACCGCAGUGCCAGCCGACAACCCCACUCUUCUCUGCGAACAUGCACCAAAAUGCAGCUGUUCAGACCAGGCUGGCUCCUCUCACACACCUGCGCAUAGGAACCCAGGCCUCUCCUGCGCGGUGCAUUCACAUUUGACCUUACGUAAGUAUCUGCAUAAUUAUUGUUGAGUAGAAGUCUUUCCGAAUCGACGAUCCACUGGAAAGGGCUGGAGGCAGAGAUCAUCUCUCACCUACAUGGCCGCCCCUCAGUGACAGUCUGACAAGGCGAUUGGCCCCCGGGGGGUUCCAAAGUUGUAAAGAAUGAGUAGAAUGAAUGAAAUCCUUCAGUACUGGAAGAGGGUGUUUCAUCCGUCCACCCUGCCCUUCAUCCAGGAUGGGGAAUGUAACAAAGCCUCCCCAAGGGAUUACUUUCCUUAAAGUACACACGUCUUUGUGAAGGAAAGGAAACGUCACAAGUGCCAGGACCCUCCGAUAUGAAGCCAGUGCAACUUUCAAAAGGCUCCACUCCAGAUGCACCUGCCCGUGCACCUGCGCGCAGCCAUGCACACGCCCCCUAAGCACCUUCCCGCACGCCCCAGUGUGUGCCCCCUCACCCACGAUGCCCGCACGGCUGAUCGCACAUUCUCCGCGAGGCCUCUUCCUCCUGGGGAGCGGGCAUCAGAGGGGUUAGCCCUGUCUCUCAGGACCCUCCCAUGUUCACUCAUUUGGGGGACACUGGCUUUGGGGAGAUGCUCACAGUUCAGCACACGGGGCCUGUCUUUUCAGCCGUCUUUUAAUCUUUGAUACACUGAACAAACGUGGAGAGCUUGCUGGUGACGAGCAGCUUGGCUCGGACUGCAGGGAUGAAAACCACGUCAGUGGAGUCCCUGGAAGUCCUCCACCGCGCCUGAGGCGCGUAAAGGGAACGCUUGAUCCUGGCUAUCAAAGGGUGCAGGAAGAUCAAGACGAAUUAAAGCCGAUGGUGUGCCAGGAACCACCUGCAACAGGAGGCCAUUACUCCCCUCGUUAAAACAGCCUCAGUUCCGGGGCCUGAUCUGAAGCUUCAUUGAAAUGUUUCAAACAGUGGAUUAUAACGAAGAUGAGACGUUCCCUGUCCAUUGCAUGACCUUUGCUAAGAAAGGCAGAUUGGUAAUAAGGCAAAAAAAAAAAAAAAAAAAAAAAAAAAAAAAAUCUGAGCUGUUGCCUGAAGACAGCCAAGCCCCUUAAUGAUACGAGCUGUGACACCCUCCGUGGGGGGGCCUGUCCAGGAUGCAGAGGCCGCGGGGAGGACCCGCCUGUGGCCGGGGGACCUGCACCUCGUCUGCUUCCCCGUGGCCGUUUCUGCGACCUUCCCUUUUCUAGACAAGAGGGGAGGGACGCGGGGCAGCACCACCUCCGGGGCAAUCAUUGUCCGUUACCCCAAACGUUGCCCUUGCGGUGCAGAGGGUCCGUGGCCCUGUCACGCUUCUUCCGUGAUCUUCCUAUAUCUGACGUGUCUAAUCGCACUGACGCCCUCGGUAGACAAGGAUGCCCGAGCUGCUCGGGGUCUGCGGGGGACGGGGCUCUGGCACGGCCCGACCCCGUUAUCAAUUUUUCUGUAUCCUGAAAAAAAACAUCACGAAGCUGCUGCCCCUUAUGCUUCUCACACGAUAAUAAAUUGCAAGUCAUAUUUGUCCAGAGAUACGAAUGCCUUCUGGCUCUCUUCCCCUUUUUGGGGUGAUUAUCUGCCCUGGCAAUAAAGUCCAUGUCUCGAGUCCUGCCAUUAUCUCCCCUCCAGCUGGCACAUUGUGAAAGUCGCUGUUGGGGGGAUACUGUUGCAGCAGCUGAUAGGAAAGCUUUACAGAAAGUUCUCUAUCUCUUGGCCAUUUCUGCUCUGGACUCACCUGUCCUGUCCUGGCACCUGUGUUCCGUUUCUCACGUGAUGGCUCAGCUGCUUGUCUCUGGGGAGCCUCUAAGGCGGGGCCCAGCCACAUCUGGUCCGCAGCGUCGGCACCUGUUAGGGAUGCAGCAUCUCCAGCCCCAUCCUAGACUUGCCGACCGGAUCUGAAGUGCAUCAAGAUCCCCGGGCGAUUCAGGUGCUCAUCAGGGGCUGACAAGGACCUUGGCAGAGGAGCUAUCCUGGGGCAAAGGCUGCGAGGCUUUGAGGAGCCGCGGUGAGGGUUCCUGGGCACGGCACACCUUUCUAAGGUGAGAUUUAGUCAAGCUGGUGCAGAGUGGGCACCAGUUCUCAUGAGAAAGGGUUAAUUAGUUCUUCAACAGCUGGAGCUAUUUUGCAGUCGAGGACCCACAUAAAAGGACAGCAGGCCGGGCACGGCGGCCAGUCUGCCGGAGCUGCUGGAUGAGAGCCUGGGAGAAAGUGCAGGUCGUGCCUUCCGACGUUACUAAACUUCCGUGCGGCGGCGACGUUGGCUUGAACUUCACUAAACCCUCCAAAGACAAGACGAGCUUGGACCAUCUGGUCCUCUAGGAUGAAGUCAUUUGAUCGGGGACAGGCCGUUACCCACAAUUGCUUGGGAUCGCCAAGGACGGGACCUCCCAGUCGCACCUGCUCCGUUUCCCUUUUGAAAGCGUUUUUUCCACUAAACUUUUCGAGGGGAAAGUUGAACGAGGAGACUUGGUUUUAGUUUCGCGCCUUGCUUUGGGUGCGGACUCCAUCUCAUUUAACCCCAGUGUAACGCCGUCUUCAAAAUUCAGUAUUUCCUCCCCCCGAACACACACGCAUCUGCCUCUAAACACAGCCACCUUACCUUCCUUACCGGCUGCUCUCCUGCUCUCCCUAAAUUCGCCCUUCACGCCUUUCUUCCCGAGUU
RNAcentral lists this long non-coding RNA (3008 nucleotides) under Sus scrofa (pig). RNAcentral's name for it is "lncRNA (ENSSSCG00060054572.1)". The record is from RNAcentral. Lineage: Eukaryota; Metazoa; Chordata; Mammalia; Artiodactyla; Suidae.